UUAGAUACCCUGGUAGUCCACGCCGUAAACGUUGGGCGCUAGAUGUGGGGACCAUUCCACGGUUUCCGUGUCGCAGCUAACGCAUUAAGCGCCCCGCCUGGGGAGUACGGCCGCAAGGCUAAAACUCAAAGGAAUUGACGGGGGCCCGCACAAGCGGCGGAGCAUGCGGAUUAAUUCGAUGCAACGCGAAGAACCUUACCAAGGCUUGACAUAUACGAGAACGGGCCAGAAAUGGUCAACUCUUUGGACACUCGUAAACAGGUGGUGCAUGGUUGUCGUCAGCUCGUGUCGUGAGAUGUUGGGUUAAGUCCCGCAACGAGCGCAACCCUCGUUCUAUGUUGCCAGCACGUAAUGGUGGGAACUCAUAGGAGACUGCCGGGGUCAACUCGGAGGAAGGUGGGGAUGACGUCAAAUCAUCAUGCCCCUUAUGUCUUGGGCUUCACGCAUGCUACAAUGGCCGGUACAAAGGGCUGCAAUACCGUAAGGUGGAGCGAAUCCCAAAAAGCCGGUCUCAGUUCGGAUUGAGGUCUGCAACUCGACCUCAUGAAGUCGGAGUCGCUAGUAAUCGCAGAUCAGCAACGCUGCGGUGAAUACGUUCCCGGGCCUUGUACACACCGCCCGUCAAGUCAUGAAAGUCGGUAACACCCGAAGCCGGUGGCCCAACCCUUGUGGAGGGAGC
This 679-nucleotide ribosomal RNA is filed under the name Leifsonia shinshuensis. Its description in RNAcentral is "bacterial SSU rRNA". It matches the Rfam family "Bacterial small subunit ribosomal RNA", at positions 778 to 1453 of the family's 1533-position model. The record is from RNAcentral. Lineage: Bacteria; Bacillati; Actinomycetota; Actinomycetes; Micrococcales; Microbacteriaceae.